UGGGAAGGAGAACGAGAAAGAGAGGACGUUGGACUCCAUUAUGAAGAGCAAGUUGCCGGUCUCGGGGAUGCAGAAGGGGAAUGGGAAGGGCAAUGUAGCAGCUACUACGCGGCUGCCGACGGAGCUGGCAAAUUAUUCCAACAAUGUCCAAAUCGCUGAGUUGUUGUAUAGGGUAAAAAAGAAACCUCUGCCUUGACGUCUCCCUAACCCCACCGGCGCUGACGUGCGUGCCAGAAUCGCCGUUGCCUCCGGCUCGCAAACUACUAUGAGAGGGAGGUUACAUCUUCCCAGGCAAUGGAGCAUGAUAGCAAGCGGAGGAGGAUCAUGAAGAGGUGGAAGAGGAGGAGGACCAGGACGAGGAAGAGCAAGAUACUUUGUUUGAGGUGACUAUAGGAGUUCUUUGAAACCAGAAAUGGUGGAAGCCUUGGUGUGCGGUGCUAGUUAUAUCAAAGGUUCUGACAAGGACUUCAAUGUGGUGGAGAGGGAUGAAUAUAAGGAGGACGAUGUUGAGAAUAUCAAGUUGCCCAAGAUUGCUAAUGUGGGGGAUAACAACAAUUGACAUUCGUGAUGAGGGUGUUGCUCUUGCUGUUUUGAAGAUGGAUGUCUACAUGAUCUUGUCACGUGGAUUGUUGAGGUCAAUGUGAUCAUCUCGUGUCAUUUCUUUUGUUGUGAUGAACUUCGAGUUAUGUGUUUGUUGUGAUGAAUUUUGAAUUAUGUGUUUGUUGUGAUGAACUAUGGACCUUCAAUGAUGUUGUGGUGAGCCAUGCUUUUUCAACGAUGUUGUAGUGAAUUUGUGAUGAACUAUGAACUUUGUAUUAUGUGGUUUUCACUAGUCAAUGU
Molecule: long non-coding RNA, 840 nt
Organism: Triticum aestivum (bread wheat)
Lineage: Eukaryota; Viridiplantae; Streptophyta; Magnoliopsida; Poales; Poaceae
Exons: 5
Source: RefSeq, a predicted model, not a curated record